RNAcentral lists this ribosomal RNA (498 nucleotides) under uncultured bacterium. RNAcentral describes it as "partial 16S ribosomal RNA". It matches the Rfam family "Bacterial small subunit ribosomal RNA", at positions 28 to 507 of the family's 1533-position model. The record is from RNAcentral.
GACGAACGCUGGCGGCGUGCCUAAUACAUGCAAGUCGAGCGGACGAUUCGAAAGCUUGCUUUUGAAUCGUUAGCGGCGGACGGGUGAGUAACACGUGGGCAACCUGCCCUGUAGACGGGGAUAACACCGAGAAAUCGGUGCUAAUACCGGAUAACACGAAAUGUCGCAUGACGUUUCGUUGAAAGGCGGCGCAAGCUGCCGCUACAGGAUGGGCCCGCGGCGCAUUAGCUAGUUGGUGAGGUAACGGCUCUCCAAGGCGACGAUGCGUAGCCGACCUGAGAGGGUGAUCGGCCACACUGGGACUGAGACACGGCCCAGACUCCUACGGGAGGCAGCAGUAGGGAAUCUUCCGCAAUGGACGAAAGUCUGACGGAGCAACGCCGCGUGAGCGAAGAAGGCCUUCGGGUCGUAAAGCUCUGUUGUUAGGGAAGAACAAGUAACGUAGUAACUGACGUUACUAUGACGGUACCUAACGAGAAAGCCACGGCUAACUACGUG